RNAcentral lists this ribosomal RNA (613 nucleotides) under uncultured fungus. RNAcentral's name for it is "eukaryotic LSU rRNA". The stretch from base 203 to 356 matches the Rfam family "5.8S ribosomal RNA". The record is from RNAcentral. Lineage: Eukaryota; Fungi.
UCCGUAGGUGAACCUGCGGAAGGAUCAUUACCGAGAGCCCCUCCCCGAUGCAUGCUUGCAUGCGUCGUCGAAGGGGCUAUUCUCACACCCUUCUUUUAUGCGUACCUUUUGUUCUUCCUCGGCGGGUUAACCUGCCGACGGAACACCAUCACAACCCUUUUUUGCAUCUAGCAUUACCUGUUCUGAUACCCUAAAUCAUUACAACUUUCAACAAUGGAUCUCUUGGCUCUGGCAUCGAUGAAGAACGCAGCGAAAUGCGAUAAGUAGUGUGAAUUGCAGAAUUCAGUGAAUCAUCGAAUCUUUGAACGCACAUUGCGCCCCUCGGUAUUCCGUGGGGCAUGCCUGUUCGAGCGUCAUCUACACCUUCAAGCACUGCUUGGUGAUGGGCGUCUGUCCCGCCUCCGCGCGCGGACUCGCCCCAAAUGCAUUGGCAGCGGUCCCGACCGCCUCUCGCGCAGCACAUUUGCGCUUCUCGAGGCGUUGGGGCCUGCAUCCAUCAAGCCCUUCUUAGCACCUUUGACCUCGGAUCAGGUAGGGAUACCCGCUGAACUUAAGCAUAUCAAUAAGGCGGGAGGGGAAGGUCGGACUGGCCAAGGGCACACAGGGGGGGAUA